RNAcentral lists this ribosomal RNA (253 nucleotides) under uncultured bacterium. Its description in RNAcentral is "partial 16S ribosomal RNA". It matches the Rfam family "Bacterial small subunit ribosomal RNA", at positions 524 to 776 of the family's 1533-position model. The record is from RNAcentral.
UACGGGGGGAGCUAGCGUUGUUCGGAAUUACUGGGCGUAAAGCGCGCGUAGGCGGCUUUGUAAGUUAGGGGUGAAAGCCCGGAGCUCAACUCCGGAAUUGCCUUUAAGACUGCAUCGCUUGAAUCCGGGAGAGGUGAGUGGAAUUCCGAGUGUAGAGGUGAAAUUCGUAGAUAUUCGGAAGAACACCAGUGGCGAAGGCGGCUCACUGGCCCGAUACUGACGCUGAGGCACGAAAGCGUGGGGAGCAAACAGG